Long non-coding RNA from Hyalella azteca, 226 nucleotides. RefSeq lists it as uncharacterized. The record is from RefSeq and is a predicted model, not a curated record. The transcript is spliced from 3 exons. NCBI's taxonomy places the organism in Eukaryota, Metazoa, Arthropoda, Malacostraca, Amphipoda, Hyalellidae.
CUGACCUAUACAAGUAUGAGGUGGUGGAGGUUUAUUUCCUGAACGCCGACAACCAGUAUGUUGAGGUCGAAGUUGGUCCGUACGGACAGCACUGGGUGCUGCUGCUGUGGACACAAAAUGAUUUAUAUGACCAGCGGCGUCACUCCCUGCCACUGGACGUUACCACCAACAUCACGCAGGACCGCUGGAGCGCCACCGCCAGAAUACCUGUUGAUUACCUCCCACC